This 110-nucleotide ribosomal RNA is filed under the name Danio rerio (zebrafish). The record is from RNAcentral. Lineage: Eukaryota; Metazoa; Chordata; Actinopteri; Cypriniformes; Danionidae.
AUCCACAGCCAUAUCACUCUGCAGCCCAAGACUGGUUACUCAUUGAAGCUAAGCAGGGCUGAGCCUGGUUAGUACCUGGACCACAUGGGUAAACUAGGUUGCUGUGGUGU